AUAACUUUAUUUUUAAUUUCAGAUAAUAAUAAUAAAGAUUGGUUGAAACUAUUUAAAAAUAUUGAAAUGUAGUGUAAAGUGGAAGAACAUUGUUAGGCAUUUAUAGAAAAAAAUUUAUAAUUUUUAUAUGGGAAGUGUUAUUGGCACUUCAAAAAUCUCAUUCUACACUCCUCACAAGUGUAUUUUUCUUUCUAAAUAUAGAAAGUUUGGAGUGUAGAAUAAGAUUUUUGGAGUGCUAAUAACAAUUCCCUUUUAUAUUUUUAAUUAGUUUUUUUAUAAUUUUUUAAUAAUUUAAAUUGUGGCUGGCGUCAGCCUUGCGUCACAUAAGCUGUAGCAUCCUAGCCCGGGCCCCCACCA
RNAcentral lists this long non-coding RNA (357 nucleotides) under Malus domestica (apple). Its description in RNAcentral is "long non-coding RNA (MDOM_LNC010047)". The record is from RNAcentral. Lineage: Eukaryota; Viridiplantae; Streptophyta; Magnoliopsida; Rosales; Rosaceae.